GACGAACGCUGGCGGCGCGCCUAACACAUGCAAGUCGAACGGAGUCAAGAGGAGCUUGCUUUUCUUGACUUAGUGGCGAACGGGUGAGUAACGCGUGAGUAACCUGCCCUGGAGUGGGGGACAACAGUUGGAAACGACUGCUAAUACCGCAUAAGCCCACGGAUCUGCAUGGAUCUGCGGGAAAAGGAUUUAUUUGCUCUAGGAUGGACUCGCGUCCAAUUAGCUAGUUGGUGAGGUAACGGCCCACCAAGGCGACGAUUGGUAGCCGGACUGAGAGGUUGAACGGCCACAUUGGGACUGAGACACGGCCCAGACUCCUACGGGAGGCAGCAGUGGGGGAUAUUGCACAAUGGGGGAAACCCUGAUGCAGCGACGCCGCGUGGAGGAAGAAGGUUUUCGGAUUGUAAACUCCUGUCGUGAGGGACGAUAAUGACGGUACCUAACAAGAAAGCACCAGCUAACUACGUG
RNAcentral lists this ribosomal RNA (468 nucleotides) under uncultured bacterium. Its description in RNAcentral is "partial 16S ribosomal RNA". It matches the Rfam family "Bacterial small subunit ribosomal RNA", at positions 28 to 507 of the family's 1533-position model. The record is from RNAcentral.